AAGAGGUCAUCAUCAAAAGAAGAAAUUACACAAGAAGUUCCAACAAAAAUUACUUCCCAGCACUUUAUGUUCCCUCAAGUUUGCUUCUUGUGAGAAACACAUGAGAAGAUGAAAAAAAAAAACAAAAAAAAGAGGUGUGUGAUACUUGAGGUUGCCUCAUGGCAGUCCAGCUAAUUUUAAUUAACCUUUUGCCCUUCUACUUUUCUUUCAUAUAAAUAAAAAAUUUACUAUUUUGCAGCACUUGCACAUAUUAGGAAACACAUACUUACAUUUUGUCGACUAUUCUUUUCCGUGAGUCAGGCUGCAAUUGAAUUCUCCAAUCACCCGUGUCAAUGACAGGUUCUCCGCCUGGGGCAGUGGGCC
Molecule: long non-coding RNA, 363 nt
Organism: Populus trichocarpa (black cottonwood)
Lineage: Eukaryota; Viridiplantae; Streptophyta; Magnoliopsida; Malpighiales; Salicaceae
Exons: 2
Source: RefSeq, a predicted model, not a curated record